Molecule: transfer RNA, 83 nt
Filed under: Patiria miniata (bat star)
Lineage: Eukaryota; Metazoa; Echinodermata; Asteroidea; Valvatida; Asterinidae
Description: tRNA-Leu
Rfam family: tRNA
About the family: Transfer RNA (tRNA) molecules are approximately 80 nucleotides in length.
Source: Rfam by way of RNAcentral
GUCAGGAUAGCCGAGCGGUCUAAGGCGCUACGUUCAGGUCGUAGUCUACUCUGUAGGCGUGGGUUCGAAUCCCACUCCUGACA